CAGCAGCCGCGGGAAUACGGAGGGCGCGAGCGUUACCCGGAUUUACUGGGCGUAAAGGGCGUGUAGGCGGCCUGGGGCGUCCCAUGUGAAAGGCCACGGCUCAACCGUGGAGGAGCGUGGGAUACGCUCAGGCUAGAGGGUGGGAGAGGGUGGUGGAAUUCCCGGAGUAGCGGUGAAAUGCGCAGAUACCGGGAGGAACGCCGAUGGCGAAGGCAGCCACCUGGUCCACUUCUGACGCUGAGGCGCGAAAGCGUGGGGAGCGAACAGGAUUAGAUACCCCCGUAGUCCCUGUCUCUUAUAC
Molecule: ribosomal RNA, 301 nt
Filed under: uncultured bacterium
Lineage: Bacteria
Description: partial 16S ribosomal RNA
Rfam family: Bacterial small subunit ribosomal RNA
Source: RNAcentral